Molecule: ribosomal RNA, 418 nt
Filed under: bacterium enrichment culture clone ALO1_GLFRUDD03GK25L
Lineage: Bacteria
Description: bacterial SSU rRNA
Rfam family: Bacterial small subunit ribosomal RNA
Source: RNAcentral
GAGUUUGAUCUUGGCUCAGAUUGAACGCUGGCGGCAUGCCUUACACAUGCAAGUCGAACGGCAGCACGGGAGCUUGCUCCUGGUGGCGAGUGGCGAACGGGUGAGUAAUGCAUCGGAACGUAUCCUGGAGUGGGGGAUAACGUAGCGAAAGUUACGCUAAUACCGCAUAUUCUGUGAGCAGGAAAGCGGGGGACCUUCGGGCCUCGCGCUCUUGGAGCGGCCGAUGUCGGAUUAGCUAGUUGGUGAGGUAAAGGCUCACCAAGGCGACGAUCCGUAGCAGGUCUGAGAGGAUGAUCUGCCACACUGGAACUGAGACACGGUCCAGACUCCUACGGGAGGCAGCAGUGGGGAACUUUGGACAAUGGGGGCAACCCUGAUCCAGCCAUGCCGCGUGAGUGAAGAAGGCCUCGGUUGUAAG